GACGAAGGGGGCUAGCGUUGUUCGGAAUUACUGGGCGUAAAGAGCGCGUAGGUGGUUUGGUAAGUUGGAAGUGAAAGCCCGGGGCUUAACCUCAGAACUGCUUUCAAAACUGCUAAGCUAGAGUGUAGUAGGGGAUGAUGGAAUUCCUAGUGUAGAGGUGAAAUUCUUAGAUAUUAGGAGGAACACCGGUGGCGAAGGCGGUCAUCUGGGCUACAACUGACACUGAUGCGCGAAAGCGUGGGGAGCAAACAGG
This 253-nucleotide ribosomal RNA is filed under the name uncultured prokaryote. RNAcentral's name for it is "partial 16S ribosomal RNA". It matches the Rfam family "Bacterial small subunit ribosomal RNA", at positions 524 to 776 of the family's 1533-position model. The record is from RNAcentral.